GUGCCAGCAGCCGCGGUAAUACGUAGGUGGCAAGCGUUAUCCGGAAUUAUUGGGCGUAAAGCGCGCGCAGGUGGUUUCAAAAGUCUGAUGUGAAAGCCCACGGCUCAACCGUGGAGGGUCAUUGGAAACUGGGAGACUUGAGUGCAGGAGAGGAAAGUGGAAUUCCAUCUGUAGCGGUGAAAUGCGUAGAGAUAUGGAGGAACACCAGUGGCGAAGGCGACUUUCUGGUCUGUAACUGACACUGAGGCGCGAAAGCGUGGGGAGCAAACAGGAUUAGAAACCCCAGUAGUCC
This 292-nucleotide ribosomal RNA is filed under the name uncultured prokaryote. Its description in RNAcentral is "partial 16S ribosomal RNA". It matches the Rfam family "Bacterial small subunit ribosomal RNA", at positions 505 to 796 of the family's 1533-position model. The record is from RNAcentral.